GCCUGGGUGGCUCAGUCAGUUAAGCGUCUGCCUUCAACUCAGGUCGUGAUCCCAGGGUUCUGGGAUCAAGUCCCAGGUCAGGCU
This 84-nucleotide transfer RNA is filed under the name Ailuropoda melanoleuca (giant panda). It matches the Rfam family "tRNA". Rfam says of the family: Transfer RNA (tRNA) molecules are approximately 80 nucleotides in length. Their secondary structure includes four short double-helical elements and three loops (D, anti-codon, and T loops). The record is from Rfam by way of RNAcentral. Lineage: Eukaryota; Metazoa; Chordata; Mammalia; Carnivora; Ursidae.